AAACAGCUUUUAAUCCGUAAGGAGACACUUGGCCUGAUCAGACAGUAGAUCACCCACCUGGCAGAGAUUGUUCCAGAAGCUUUGUCCUGGUGAGAAGGUAUGUGUGUUUAAUCUAGAAAGAAGACAUGAAGAGGAGAAGAACUUGGGCGAGACCCCUACCUCUUGAUGAUGAUGAUGAGAAUGAUGAUGAGAAUGAUAACAAUGAUGAAGAAGAGGAGGAAGAAGAAAGUACUUCUGACAGAAGAGAUAGUUUAAGAAAACGAAAGAAAGUCAAUUACUGGACAGAUGCUCAUGUUGAUGGAGAGGAUGAGGAGGAUGAGUACGAGGAGGAUGAGGAGGAAGGUGAGGAGGAAGGUGAACACAGCCAGACAACACCAGAAAACAGUGAACCAUGUAUUGAGUAUCAGGGCGACUUCUGUACUCCACCUGAAUUUGAGGACAUUGCGGGGAAAAGCAGGGCAAAGAAAUGGAAAACAAGUAUUUUCUAUAAGAGGAAACCUCUGCAGUAUUACUUUGAUAAAGAGCUGCUGACCACGGUGGGAUACCACAGGAGAAGGAGGGAAACAGCAAAGCAAACCACACCAUCAGGUCGCGAGUCUCCGUGUAGUGUGGCAUCAGAAGAGGAAUCAACUGGAAGCAAAAAUG
Molecule: long non-coding RNA, 645 nt
Organism: Amphiprion ocellaris (clown anemonefish)
Lineage: Eukaryota; Metazoa; Chordata; Actinopteri; Pomacentridae
Source: Ensembl